GCCGUCGUGGGCCAUGGUGGUCGCCCUCAUUUCAUAGUGUUUCCAGAAUCCAGUACAAGAGGGAGACGGGGGUUCGAUUCCUCCCGACGGCA
Molecule: non-coding RNA, 92 nt
Organism: Mycena latifolia
Lineage: Eukaryota; Fungi; Basidiomycota; Agaricomycetes; Agaricales; Mycenaceae
Source: the annotation of a GenBank genome assembly